Molecule: ribosomal RNA, 518 nt
Filed under: uncultured Glomus
Lineage: Eukaryota; Fungi; Glomeromycota; Glomeromycetes; Glomerales; Glomeraceae
Description: SSU rRNA
Rfam family: Eukaryotic small subunit ribosomal RNA
Source: RNAcentral
AGCAGCCGCGGUAAUUCCAGCUCCAAUAGCGUAUAUUAAAGUUGUUGCAGUUAAAAAGCUCGUAGUUGAAUUUCGGGAUCAAUAUUUCGGUCAUGCCGUUGGUAUGCACUGUUAUCAUUGAUUUCUCACCUUCUAAAGAACCGGUAAUGCCAUUAAUUUGGUGUUACGGGGAAUUUAGGACUGUUACCUUGAAAAAAUUAGAGUGUUUAAAGGCAGGCUCACGCUUGAAUACAUUAGCAUGGAAUAAUGAAAUAGGACAUCCGAUUCUAUUUUGUUGGUUUCUAGGAUCGAUGUAAUGAUUAAUAGGGAUAGUUGGGGGGCAUUAGUAUUCAAUUGUCAGAGGUGAAAUUCUUGGAUUUAUUGAAGACUAACUACUGCGAAAGCAUUUUGCCAAGGAUGUUUUCAUUAAUCAAGAACGAAAGUUAGGGGGAUCGAAGACGAUCAGAUACCGUCGUAGUCUUAACCAUAAACUAUGCCGACUAGGGAUCGGAUGAUGUUAAUUUUUUAAUGACUCAUUC